UUUUUUUGGUCUAGUUCUUGCAUAUUUUUUCCCCUUUUCUGUAGACCUUUUCUUCAUGUGUCCAUUCACCAAAUACUUGAGUGCUUACUAUGUGCAAGACUGUCUACUAGAUGAAUAAAAGAACGUACAGUUCCUAUAGUCAAAGAGCUUGCAGUCUAGCUGAAGCUUGUGUACACACAUCAAAGAGUUAAAAAGCUAAAUAAAACAAUUGUGCAGGGCAAUACUUGAUUAAUUGUCAUAUGACUAAAGCCAACUGUAAGUGUAAUGACUUCAAAGGGGGCAACGAUAUCAUCUCUAUCCAUACAUACUCUAAUAGUUGUAAGUUCUUUCUGGACUUGGAAUCAUGAAAGCAUUCACUUCUGAGACAGAUACCAUAUCCACACUUUAGUCAGUUAAUCUGAUGCUCUGCAAAACUCAUUCUCAAGUCCCAUAUUUUUGGGUGUUCUCCAAAAAAAUUGUCUCUUGAGAGUUGGCUUUAUAUUUAUGAAACAGAUAUGUACUUGUAACCUCAAGAUUAAACAUAAAGUGAUUGUAUGCAACCUAAAAAACUUGCUUGCUGGAUCAGUACUAGUUGCAUAUGUGUGUGUGUGUAUUUGUAUGUGUGUGUGUGUAUGUGUGUGUGUUUUGCUGAGAUGGAACCCAGGGCUUCAUGCUUGCUAGGUAAGUGCUCUACCACUGAGCCCUCUUUAAACUUAGAAGUGGUAAGGAGUUUUCUAACAAACAAAAUGAUUAAUUUUCUAGAGGUAUUGCCUAGAUUUUUUUCAUCAGUAAUUGUCAUUACCAUUGGAACUAAUUUUGCACUUGAGCACACAAAUCACAGUAUAGUGUAUUUGGUCUUUCAUUUUGGCUAUCAGGCCUUGCUUUUAUUUGAGAGAACCAAUAGAGCCGAGGUGCAUUGGAGCCAAAAGAUACCUGUAUAAUAUAUUAAUAGAUUGCCUAUCUCUGAAGUCUCUCCUUUGGUGUUUCAGACAAGACUUGUGGUAAGCCACUCACAUCCUUUGUAAGAAAGACUGAGAUUUUUUUCUUGUCAUUUUUUUACAUGUUCAGCCAGCCACUUGAAAGCUUCUGCAUUCAGUUUGUUUCUCUGCUUCUGAAUCUGAGGCUUGAUAUGUAUUUUAAAAGAAAAGACCAUCUUUGACUGCCAUCCAUACACUUUUAUUUAAUGGCGUCCAAUUUUGGAAGUAAGAGAUAACAAAGCACACACUAAAACUGAAUGAAUAGGAUUCUAUUUCCUGGUAUUUUUUGAAAUCUAGUGAAAAAUAGAGUUAGAUAUUCUAGAUACUUCAUUAAAAUAGUAGUUGAAAGGAAAAAAGAAUUUAGAAAGUAUAUAGUAUAGAUAGUACUGUUUAAUAAAACUUUUUGUGAUGAUGGAAUGUUUUUUAUUGUUUAUCUCAGUUUAAUGUGUUAGCCACCAGUCACAUGUGGCUAUUGGGGGCCUUGAGAUGUGUGGUUAGUAUGCCUGAUGAACUGAAUUUUUAUUUCAAUUUGAUUUAAAAUUUUAAAUAGCCACCUAUAGCUAGUGGUCACCAUACUGAAUUGUGCAUAGUAAAAAGUCAUUACUUAAGUAUUAAAGUAGUCUUUAUUUUGUGAAAGGAUGCCUGUCAAUACAUACUUAGACCAAUAGGGGAAGCUCACAUUUCCUUCUUGCCCUUCCUGUUACUUUACCCCUAUGUAGGAGGAACCUUGGGCUUGUUAGGAACCUUGAUGGAUGUUAAAAAAAAUAGCCCACUAUUAUAGGAGGUAGAGCUUUUAAUUCAAGGAAUAUAAGUAUUAUAACCUCAGUUGGCUGAGGCAAGCAGUGCAUGUUCCUAGUUCCCUAGGGCACUGCUAUCCAGUAGAACUUGGAAUGGUAAAUGGAAGUGUUCUAUAUCUGCAUUGUCUAUUAUCACAGGUAACAACUGAGUACUUGAAAUGUGGCCAGUGUAACUGUGAAAUUGAAUUUUUAAUUUUAUCUAAUUGUAAUUAAUUUUAAAUUAAAUAGCCAAAUGUGGCUAUUGUGUUGGCCAGAGCAAUAAAUAAUGGUGUUUAUACAUCUCCUAAAAGUGUGAAAUCCAUGUACCCUCUCCAACAUUUUCAGGCUAACAUUCAAACUUUUUAUCAUGUGUUUCAAGUUUAUAAGAAGUUAAUAGGAUAUAGAAAAUAUUAAACUUAGUUUGAGACAAGUGAGAUGAAGAUGACUGUAAAAUGUAUGCAUAAUGAAUUCUGAUUCUGAAAAAUUCACAUAAAUUCUUAUUGGUAGGUUUUAUCGAAUGUAUAUUGAAAAUAUUGGUGAUUUGGAAAUAUUCUAGUUAACAUUUUAGAGAAACAAUGUCAAUAACCUAUAUUACUUUGUUCAUUCUAAAUUUAGGAGCCAAGCUUUAUACCUACAGUAUAUAUGCACGUAUGAUAGGUUUUAAGGUACCUUGAUCAGUCAGUAGAAGAGGAGGAUGGCUACCCCAGUUGAAGAUGACUGCUUCAGAACAUCUUUUUGAUAUCUUUCUUGGCUGAUACAAUUGGACUGGGCCAUUGAAUUCCUCUAUCCUUAGAAAGCCCAGAGUGAAAUAGGAAAGUAAAAGGGAAAGGUGUAGCAUAUAACUCUUGCCUAAUGAUUAGUCAGUGUGUCUUUUGGAAGUGAAUUGGGAUAUCUUGUCCAUUCCCUUUGAUCAGACUCAACUGAUAGAUUCAUCCCAGGGUUUUAAAAAAUCAUGUCUGAAAUAACAGCUUGACUUUUUCAUUGUGUACCUACAAAUAUCUCAGUGCCUCUUAUGGGAUUUUAGAAAUACAGCAGUGAACUAUUUACCUUCAAGUUAUCUACCUUAUUAAAGAACCAUUUGCCUUAUUUUGAGCAAGAUCUUGUAUUUUGUUGGUGUUGAUGUUAAGCUGGUGGUGCUUAAGGCUGGGCAGAAGGCAGUACAGUAGAUUAGUAGAGCCGGUGUAGAGCUUAGAGACAACAUAAUCUAGAACAGUGCAAAUCAUGAAUUGUUCCAAAAAAAUUUAAGCGAUCAGCUGUUUAAAAACCAUGCCUUUUAACUGAAGAACAAAUUGCUAUAGCUCAUAGCUUAUGGUGAAGGUGUGGUUUAGUAAGUGAUGAAUGAUGGGUUCAUAAAGAACCAUGUAGAGGGCUGGGGAUGUGGCUCUAGCGGUAGCGCGCUGGCCUGGCAUGAGUGUGGCCCGGGUUCGAUCCUCAGCACCACACACAAACAAAGAUGUUGUGUCCGCUGAAAACUAAAAAAAUAAAUUAAAAAACAGAACCAUGUAGAAGGGGAAAGCUGAUAGUUCUGGAGUGACACAGUGGUCAUACCUAUUCUUGGUAAUGUUUAGAUGAGUAACACAUUUUUUAUAAUGUUGAACUGCAGUUGUGUAAAUAUUCAUUAUAUAUCUCAUUCCUUAAUUUAUGUACUGCAAAGAAAAAACAAAGUGGUGCAUUUUUUUUUUAAACCACAACCCAUAU
This 3430-nucleotide long non-coding RNA is filed under the name Marmota monax (woodchuck). Lineage: Eukaryota; Metazoa; Chordata; Mammalia; Rodentia; Sciuridae. The record is from RNAcentral.